AACUUACCUAUACGUUGCUUCGGCGGGAAUAGACGGCCCCGUAAAACGGGCCGCCCCCGCCAGAGGACCCUUAACUCUGUUUCUUUUAGUGUAUCUUCUGAGUAAAACAAGCAAAUAAAUUAAAACUUUCAACAACGGAUCUCUUGGCUCUGGCAUCGAUGAAGAACGCAGCGAAAUGCGAUAAGUAAUGUGAAUUGCAGAAUUCAGUGAAUCAUCGAAUCUUUGAACGCACAUUGCGCCCGCCAGUAUUCUGGCGGGCAUGCCUGUUCGAGCGUCAUUACAACCCUCAGGCCCCCGGGCCUGGCGUUGGGGAUCGGCGGAGCCCCCCGUGGGCACACGCCGUCCCCCAAAUACAGUGGCGGUCCCGCCGCAGCUUCCAUCGCGUAGUAGCUAACACCUCGCGACUGGAGAGCGGCGCGGCCACGCCGUAAAACACCCAACUCUUCUGAA
This 450-nucleotide unclassified non-coding RNA is filed under the name Fusarium solani. RNAcentral's name for it is "sequence contains 18S rRNA gene, ITS1, 5.8S rRNA gene, ITS2, 28S rRNA gene". The stretch from base 124 to 277 matches the Rfam family "5.8S ribosomal RNA". The record is from RNAcentral. Lineage: Eukaryota; Fungi; Ascomycota; Sordariomycetes; Hypocreales; Nectriaceae.